AAAUUGAAGAGUUUGAUCAUGGCUCAGAUUGAACGCUGGCGGCAGGCCUAACACAUGCAAGUCGAACGGUAACAGGAAGCAGCUUGCUGCUUCGCUGACGAGUGGCGGACGGGUGAGUAAUGUCUGGGAAACUGCCUGAUGGAGGGGGAUAACUACUGGAAACGGUGGCUAAUACCGCAUAACGUCGCAAGACCAAAGAGGGGGACCUUCGGGCCUCUUGCCAUCAGAUGUGCCCAGAUGGGAUUAGCUAGUUGGUGAGGUAACGGCUCACCAAGGCGACGAUCCCUAGCUGGUCUGAGAGGAUGACCAGCCACACUGGAACUGAGACACGGUCCAGACUCCUACGGGAGGCAGCAGUGGGGAAUAUUGCACAAUGGGCGCAAGCCUGAUGCAGCCAUGCCGCGUGUAUGAAGAAGGCCUUCGGGUUGUAAAGUACUUUCAGCGGGGAGGAAGGUGUUGUGGUUAAUAACCACAGCAAUUGACGUUACCCGCAGAAGAAGCACCGGCUAACUCCGUGCCAGCAGCCGCGGUAAUACGGAGGGUGCAAGCGUUAAUCGGAAUUACUGGGCGUAAAGCGCACGCAGGCGGUCUGUCAAGUCGGAUGUGAAAUCCCCGGGCUCAACCUGGGAACUGCAUUCGAAACUGGCAGGCUUGAGUCUUGUAGAGGGGGGUAGAAUUCCAGGUGUAGCGGUGAAAUGCGUAGAGAUCUGGAGGAAUACCGGUGGCGAAGGCGGCCCCCUGGACAAAGACUGACGCUCAGGUGCGAAAGCGUGGGGAGCAAACAGGAUUAGAUACCCUGGUAGUCCACGCCGUAAACGAUGUCUACUUGGAGGUUGUGCCCUUGAGGCGUGGCUUCCGGAGCUAACGCGUUAAGUAGACCGCCUGGGGAGUACGGCCGCAAGGUUAAAACUCAAAUGAAUUGACGGGGGCCCGCACAAGCGGUGGAGCAUGUGGUUUAAUUCGAUGCAACGCGAAGAACCUUACCUGGUCUUGACAUCCACGGAAGUUUUCAGAGAUGAGAAUGUGCCUUCGGGAACCGUGAGACAGGUGCUGCAUGGCUGUCGUCAGCUCGUGUUGUGAAAUGUUGGGUUAAGUCCCGCAACGAGCGCAACCCUUAUCCUUUGUUGCCAGCGAUUAGGUCGGGAACUCAAAGGAGACUGCCAGUGAUAAACUGGAGGAAGGUGGGGAUGACGUCAAGUCAUCAUGGCCCUUACGACCAGGGCUACACACGUGCUACAAUGGCGCAUACAAAGAGAAGCGACCUCGCGAGAGCAAGCGGACCUCAUAAAGUGCGUCGUAGUCCGGAUUGGAGUCUGCAACUCGACUCCAUGAAGUCGGAAUCGCUAGUAAUCGUGGAUCAGAAUGCCACGGUGAAUACGUUCCCGGGCCUUGUACACACCGCCCGUCACACCAUGGGAGUGGGUUGCAAAAGAAGUAGGUAGCUUAACCUUCGGGAGGGCGCUUACCACUUUGUGAUUCAUGACUGGGGUGAAGUCGUAACAAGGUAACCGUAGGGGAACCUGCGGUUGGA
RNAcentral lists this ribosomal RNA (1531 nucleotides) under Salmonella enterica subsp. enterica serovar Paratyphi B. Its description in RNAcentral is "partial 16S ribosomal RNA". It matches the Rfam family "Bacterial small subunit ribosomal RNA". The record is from RNAcentral. Lineage: Bacteria; Pseudomonadati; Pseudomonadota; Gammaproteobacteria; Enterobacterales; Enterobacteriaceae. RNAcentral also lists the same sequence under 1 other name.